UUUCGCAAUGCCCGAAAGGGUGACGAAGCGACGCCGCGUGGGUGAGGAAGGCCCUCGGGUUGUAAAGCCCUGUCAGGAGUUAAGAAAUGUAGACCCGCUAAUAUCGGGUCUAUUUGACAAAGGCUCCAAAGGAAGCCACGGCUAACUCUGUGCCAGCAGCCGCGGUAAUACAGAGGUGGCAAGCGUUGUUCGGAAUUAUUGGGCGUAAAGAGCACGUAGGUGGAUUUGUAAGUCAGAUGUGAAAGCCUUCUGUUCAACGGGAGAAUUGCAUCUGAAACUACAGACCUUGAGUAUAGGAGGGGAGAAUGGAACUUCUGGUGGAGCGGUGAAAUGCGUAGAUAUCAGAAGGAACGCCGGCGGCGAAAGCGAUUCUCUGGCCUAUUACUGACACUCAGUGUGCGAAAGCUAGGGGAGCAAACGGGAUUAGAUACCCCGGUAGUCCUAGCCGUAAACGAUGGGCACUAAGUAGAGGGGUUUUA
This 479-nucleotide ribosomal RNA is filed under the name uncultured bacterium. RNAcentral describes it as "bacterial SSU rRNA". It matches the Rfam family "Bacterial small subunit ribosomal RNA", at positions 364 to 833 of the family's 1533-position model. The record is from RNAcentral.